UACGUAGGGGGCAAGCGUUGUCCGGAUUUAUUGGGCGUAAAGAGCGUGUAGGCGGCCAUUCAGGUCAGCUGUGAAAACUCGAGGCUCAACCUCGAGACGUCGGUUGAAACCGUUUGGCUAGAGUCCGGAAGAGGAGAGUGGAAUUCCCGGUGUAGCGGUGAAAUGCGCAGAUAUCGGGAAGAACACCCGUGGCGAAGGCGGCUCUCUGGGACGGUACUGACGCUGAGACGCGAAAGCGUGGGGAGCGAACGAGGCA
RNAcentral lists this ribosomal RNA (256 nucleotides) under uncultured bacterium. RNAcentral's name for it is "partial 16S ribosomal RNA". It matches the Rfam family "Bacterial small subunit ribosomal RNA", at positions 524 to 779 of the family's 1533-position model. The record is from RNAcentral.